Molecule: long non-coding RNA, 1363 nt
Organism: Diabrotica virgifera virgifera (western corn rootworm)
Lineage: Eukaryota; Metazoa; Arthropoda; Insecta; Coleoptera; Chrysomelidae
Exons: 3
Source: RefSeq, a predicted model, not a curated record
AUAACCCAGGCAACCAAGUGACGUCAACAACGUCGAGGAAACGUCAGUAUUUGGUGGAAUAUAUACACGUAGUUGAACAUUACGUCAUAUCGACGUCUUUUGUAGGUGAUUUUAAAUACGUAAGAUUAAUGACGUUAAAAUACGUUUAAAAGACGUUUUCAUUUCAGCCAGCCUAAGUCUGACGUCACGAAAUUGGGAGGAGCUUGGAGCUUAAAAGUUACAAAACUAGGGUUAUGUUUGUAUCAUCGUUGUCGUUUCAUUUCAUUGUUUGUUUGUCCUAGUAUUUUGCCUUUUUUGGAUUCAUUUGGAUUUUGUUGGCUGUUUUGUGUGUAUUUUUUAAAACUUCUGUUUGUCAUUUGUAAAUUUUAUAAAUUUACCACAAUGCAAAGUGAUUAUUUAAGGAAAUUAUUAAUGGAAACUCCGCAGAUGUUUUAGAAAGAUAUUCAUUGAAGCUGAAAAUAAUUGGAGAUUUAGAUCCAUAUACAAUUCAGUCAUCAGAAUUGGAUUUUACAGUGCAUUCCUUCAAUUACUGUUAUAAUGCUAUUAUAGAUAGACUGCUAGAGUCUCACAGUUACUGCUUUAAGCAGCAGAUGAAAGCAUACAAAAGCCUUCAGGCACAUAAAAGCCUUCACAACUGGAUUUGUUUUGAAACAUUGAUGUUUUGAUGAUUUCUAUAUUAUUGUUGGAAAGGUGAAAAAUUCCCAAAAAGCUAAUGCUAAACCGCUAGAUCUUCAGUGAAUAGCCAGUUCCAAUGGCAUAGCAAAUGCACAUUGUAUGUGUAUGGCCAGUAAUAGUGAAAUUUGCAGCCAUAUUGCAGCAAUCUUAUUUGCAGCUGAGUAUGCCCACAGCAAGACAGAAGAAGAAGAACCCAAUGCAUGUACAGAUGUUACAGCUAUGUACAUUCUCUGGUGAAAAACUAAUGAGUUUUCAAGCUGUUCGGUCAGAGUGCUUGUUGCGCUCUCUAAACGAACUGAUAUAUAAGACGGCUUUGGCUUCAUGUUGCAGUGAUAUGAAAAUGGUUAGUCAUUUUUAAUUAUAAUGUACUUCUUCAUCAUGAGUAUUUAUGUAUAGGGCUUUUCAUUCACAGUCAUUUGUUUCGAGCUUCUGUCAUGUGUCACAUAAUAUUAAUAUUAUAUCUACGUCAUACGUUACUGGUAUAUAUCAAUGAUACACACCAAAGACAUAUGGCAUAGAUAUAUUAAUAUUAUGUGACACAUGACAGAUGCUCGAAACAAAUGACAGUCGAUAAAAAGCCCUAUUAGUCUUUUAAGUGUGUAUUAUCAGAUAUCACAUGUAAAUUGUUUUUAUCAUGUUAAUUUGGUCAUUACAGUCCCUUAAUCAAAAAAUAUAUUUUUCAGGUGUC